UGCUAGCUACAGGUAGAUCGAGCCUGCGCUCAGUCGUCGUAGCAAGGUAGAGUUGUUCGUGGCUGCAGUCAGUCGGAGGWAGGUAGGGAGAGUUUGUGUCUGAGUCAGUCCGUCGAAGGAAGAUAGGGUCUGAUAGUGGAUGGGAACGUCCACCGCAUGGAGGGUGUUGGAAAGAUUUAUCGGUCAUGGAUGGACUCGCGGCCUAUCAUCUUGUUGGUGAGGUAAUGGCUCACCAAGGCGACGACGGGUAGCCGGCCUGAGAGGGUGACCGGCCACACUGGGACUGAGACACGGCCCAGACUCCUACGGGAGGCAGCAGUGGGGAAUAUUGCACAAUGGGGGAARGCCUGAUGCAGCGACGCCGCGUGAGGGAUGACGGCCUUCGGGUUGUAAACCUCUUUCAGUAGGGAAGAAGCGAAAGUGACGGUACCUGCAGAAGAAGCACCGGCUAACUACGUGUCUUCUGCCGCGGUAAUACUUAUGGUGCGAGCGUUAUCCGGAAUUAUUGGGCGUAAAGAGCUCGUAGGCGGUUUGUCGCGUCUGUCGUGAAAGUCCAGGGCUUAACCCCGGAUCUGCGGUGGGUACGGGCAGACUAGAGUGCAGUAGGCGAGACUGGAAUUCCUGGUGUAGCGGUGGAAAUGCGCAGAUAUCAUGUGUAACACCGAUGGCGAAGGCAGGUCUCUGGGCUGUAACUGACGCUGAGGAGCGAAAGCAUGGGGAGCGAACAGGAUUAGAUACCCUGAUAGUCCAUGCCGUAAACGUUGGGCACUAGGUGUGGGGACCAUUCCCACGGUUUCCGCGCCGCAGCUAACGCAUUAAGUGCCCCGCCUGGGAGUACGGCGCAAGGCUAAAACUCAAAGGAAUUGACGGGGCCCCGCACAAGCCGCGGAGCAUGCGGAUUAAUUCGA
RNAcentral lists this ribosomal RNA (908 nucleotides) under Micrococcus sp. BYC1. RNAcentral's name for it is "bacterial SSU rRNA". It matches the Rfam family "Bacterial small subunit ribosomal RNA", at positions 56 to 954 of the family's 1533-position model. The record is from RNAcentral. Lineage: Bacteria; Bacillati; Actinomycetota; Actinomycetes; Micrococcales; Micrococcaceae.